UACGUAGGGUGCGAGCGUUGUCCGGAAUUAUUGGGCGUAAAGGGCUCGUAGGCGGUCUGUCGCGUCGGGAGUGAAAACUCAGGGCUUAACCCUGAGCCUGCUUCCGAUACGGGCAGACUAGAGGUAUGCAGGGGAGAACGGAAUUCCUGGUGUAGCGGUGAAAUGCGCAGAUAUCAGGAGGAACACCGGUGGCGAAGGCGGUUCUCUGGGCAUUACCUGACGCUGAGACGCGAAAGCGUGGGGAGCAAACAGG
Molecule: ribosomal RNA, 253 nt
Filed under: uncultured bacterium
Lineage: Bacteria
Description: partial 16S ribosomal RNA
Rfam family: Bacterial small subunit ribosomal RNA
Source: RNAcentral